This is a long non-coding RNA of Mesocricetus auratus (golden hamster), 462 nucleotides long. RefSeq lists it as uncharacterized. Lineage: Eukaryota; Metazoa; Chordata; Mammalia; Rodentia; Cricetidae. The transcript has 2 exons. The record is from RefSeq and is a predicted model, not a curated record.
GUAGCCCGCCAGAGAAGUAAGAUGUCCGGACCCUCUCUCCGGUUCCUUCUCAGUCAGCACCCCUGCCCUACCUUGUCUGCUAUUAGACCUCAGCCAGCAGCACUGUGGGCCAGAAGAACUCAAGUCUGUGAUGAACCCCUGAUGCGGAGACCAGUUGUGUGGAUACAGAAGCGUACAGGUGUGUAGGGAAGACAGGACUCCCAUCCACAGCUUUGGAGCAUGGCCCACCCUAUUGCCUCACCAUGGAGAGACCAACUGAAGAGGGGUUGGAUGAGAGGCAGUCUCAGCUUUGAUGAGUGUACCUCCACAAAACACAGACAACCAGGGGCGGCAGAGAAGUAUUCCAACUUUCCCACUUAACUGCAAGAAACUCCCGGGAAAGCUGCACCCAGUUUCUGGGCAGCAUUUUCCCUGGAAAACUACUAGGAAAGUGGGUAAUUUAAAUGUCUUCUCUUUGUUUGA